GGCUUAGAACUAACGCUGGCAGUGCGUCUUAAGCAUGCAAGUCAAACGGGAUGUAGCAAUACAUCUAGUGGCGAACGGGUGAGUAACGCGUGGAUGAUCUACCUAUGAGAUGGGGAUAACUACUAGAAAUAGUAGCUAAUACCGAAUAAAGUUAAUUAAUUUGUUAAUUGAUGAAAGGAAGCCCUUAAAGCUUCGCUUGUAGAUGAGUCUGCGUCUUAUUAGCUAGUUGGUAGGGUAAAUGCCUACCAAGGCGAUGAUAAGUAACCGGCCUGAGAGGGUGAACGGUCACACUGGAACUGAGAUACGGUCCAGACUCCUACGGGAGGCAGCAGCUAAGAAUCUUCCGCAAUGGGCGAAAGCCUGACGGAGCGACACUGCGUGAAUGAAGAAGGUCGAAAGAUUGUAAAAUUCUUUUAUAAAUGAGGAAUAAGCUUUGUAGGAAAUGACAAAGUGAUGACGUUAAUUUAUGAAUAAGCCCCGGCUAAUUACGUGCCAGCAGCCGCGGUAAUACGUAAGGGACGUGCGGGGCUCGGGAUUAUUGGGCGUAAAGGG
Molecule: ribosomal RNA, 552 nt
Filed under: uncultured Borreliella sp.
Lineage: Bacteria; Pseudomonadati; Spirochaetota; Spirochaetia; Spirochaetales; Borreliaceae
Description: bacterial SSU rRNA
Rfam family: Bacterial small subunit ribosomal RNA
Source: RNAcentral